UACGUAGGUGGCAAGCGUUGUUCGGAAUUAUUGGGCGUAAAGGGCGCGUAGGCGGUUUGUUAAGUCGGCUGUGAAAGCCUGGGGCUCAACCCCAGAGGGUCGGCCGAUACUGGCAAACUAGAGUACGGAAGAGGUAGCUGGAAUUCCCAGUGUAGAGGUGAAAUUCGUAGAUAUUGGGAAGAACACCGAUGGCGAAGGCAGCCAUCUGGACCGACACUGACGCUGAGGCGCGAAAGCGUGGGGAGCAAACAGG
RNAcentral lists this ribosomal RNA (253 nucleotides) under uncultured bacterium. RNAcentral describes it as "partial 16S ribosomal RNA". It matches the Rfam family "Bacterial small subunit ribosomal RNA", at positions 524 to 776 of the family's 1533-position model. The record is from RNAcentral.